This 477-nucleotide ribosomal RNA is filed under the name uncultured soil bacterium. RNAcentral describes it as "bacterial SSU rRNA". It matches the Rfam family "Bacterial small subunit ribosomal RNA", at positions 62 to 519 of the family's 1533-position model. The record is from RNAcentral.
UCGUACGAGAAAGGGAUUCGUCCCCGGUAAAGUGGCGAACGGGUGCGUAACACGUAGGUAACCUUCCCUGGAGCGGGGGAUAACAGACCGAAAGGUUUGCUAAUACCGCAUAAGACCACGAUUUGAAAUAGUCGUGGUAAAAGCUGGCCUCUUCAUGAAAGCUAGCACUUCAGAAUGAGCCUGCGGCCCAUCAGCUAGUUGGUAAGGUAAUGGCUUACCAAGGCAAAGACGGGUAGCUGGUCUGAGAGGAUGAUCAGCCACACUGGCACUGAAACACGGGCCAGACUCCUACGGGAGGCAGCAGUGGGGAAUCUUGGUCAAUGGGCGCAAGCCUGAACCAGCGACGCCGCGUGAGUGAUGAAGGCCUUCGGGUUGUAAAGCUCUGUGGGGAAGAAAGAAAAAAUCAUAGGCGAACAGGCUAUGAUCUUGACGGUACUUCCUUAGCAAGCACCGGCUAACUCUGUGCCAGCAGCCGCG